CUUGCUGGGUGGAUUAGUGGCGAACGGGUGAGUAACACGUGAGUAACCUGCCCUUGACUCUGGGAUAAGCCUGGGAAACUGGGUCUAAUACUGGAUAUGACUUCUCACCGCAUGGUGGGGGGUGGAAAGAUUUAUUGGUCUUGGAUGGACUCGCGGCCUAUCAGCUUGUUGGUGAGGUAAUGGCUCACCAAGGCGACGACGGGUAGCCGGCCUGAGAGGGUGACCGGCCACACUGGGACUGAGACACGGCCCAGACUCCUACGGGAGGCAGCAGUGGGGAAUAUUGCACAAUGGGCGCAAGCCUGAUGCAGCGACGCCGCGUGAGGGAUGACGGCCUUCGGGUUGUAAACCUCUUUCAGUAGGGAAGAAGCGAAAGUGACGGUACCUGCAGAAGAAGCGCCGGCUAACUACGUGCCAGCAGCCGCGGUAAUACGUAGGGCGCGAGCGUUAUCCGGAAUUAUUGGGCGUAAAGAGCUCGUAGGCGGUUUGUCGCGUCUGCCGUGAAAGUCCGGGGCUUAACCCCGGAUCUGCGGUGGGUACGGGCAGACUAGAGUGCAGUAGGGGAGACUGGAAUUCCUGGUGUAGCGGUGAAAUGCGCAGAUAUCAGGAGGAACACCGAUGGCGAAGGCAGGUCUCUGGGCUGUAACUGACGCUGAGGAGCGAAAGCAUGGGGAGCGAACAGGAUUAGAUACCCUGGUAGUCCAUGCCGUAAACGUUGGGCACUAGGUGUGGGGGACAUUCCACGUUUUCCGCGCCGUAGCUAACGCAUUAAGUGCCCCGCCUGGGGAGUACGGCCGCAAGGCUAAAACUCAAAGGAAUUGACGGGGGCCCGCACAAGCGGCGGAGCAUGCGGAUUAAUUCGAUGCAACGCGAAGAACCUUACCAAGGCUUGACAUGUUCCUGACCGCCGUAGAGAUACGGUUUCCCCUUUGGGGCAGGUUCACAGGUGGUGCAUGGUUGUCGUCAGCUCGUGUCGUGAGAUGUUGGGUUAAGUCCCGCAACGAGCGCAACCCUCGUUCCAUGUUGCCAGCACGUCGUGGUUGGGGACUCAUGGGAAAACUGCCCGGGGUCAACUCGGAAG
RNAcentral lists this ribosomal RNA (1081 nucleotides) under Micrococcus terreus. RNAcentral's name for it is "bacterial SSU rRNA". It matches the Rfam family "Bacterial small subunit ribosomal RNA", at positions 79 to 1169 of the family's 1533-position model. Lineage: Bacteria; Bacillati; Actinomycetota; Actinomycetes; Micrococcales; Micrococcaceae. The record is from RNAcentral.